CGUAGGGGCCGAGCGUUGUCCGGAGUUAUUGGGCGUAAAGCGCGCGCAGGCGGCUUGGCGCGCCCGACGUGAAAGCCCCCGGCUUAACCGGGGAGAGUCGUCGGGGACGGCCGGGCUUGAGGGCGGGAGAGGGUGGUGGAAUUCCCGGUGUAGUGGUGAAAUGCGUAGAGAUCGGGAGGAACACCUGUGGCGAAGGCGGCCACCUGGGCCGACCCUGACGCUGAGGCGCGAAGGCGUGGGGAGCGAACGGG
RNAcentral lists this ribosomal RNA (251 nucleotides) under uncultured bacterium. RNAcentral's name for it is "partial 16S ribosomal RNA". It matches the Rfam family "Bacterial small subunit ribosomal RNA", at positions 526 to 776 of the family's 1533-position model. The record is from RNAcentral.